AUUGAACGCUGGCGGCAGGCCUAACACAUGCAAGUCGAGCGGAGCGGCGUACGGGUGAUUAAUGCCUAGGAAUCUGCCUGGUAGUGGGGGAUAACGUCCGGCAACGGGCGCUACUCCCGCAUACUACCAGAUGAGCCUAGGUCGGCUUAGCUAGUUGGUGGGGUAAAGGCCUACCAAGGCGACGAUCCGUAACUGGUCUGAGAGGAUGAUCAGUCCAACUGGAACUGGGACAAGGUCCAGAACACUAGGGGAGACAGCAGUGGGGAAUAUUGGACAAUGGGCGAAAGCCUGAUCGAGCAAUGCCGCGUGUGUGAAGAAGGUCUUCGGAUUGUAGAGCGCUUUAAGUCAGGAGACGUUACCAACAGAAUAAGCACAGGCUAACUUCGUGCCAGCAGCCGCGGUAAUAC
RNAcentral lists this ribosomal RNA (407 nucleotides) under uncultured bacterium. RNAcentral's name for it is "partial 16S ribosomal RNA". It matches the Rfam family "Bacterial small subunit ribosomal RNA", at positions 30 to 526 of the family's 1533-position model. The record is from RNAcentral.